Molecule: ribosomal RNA, 305 nt
Filed under: uncultured bacterium
Lineage: Bacteria
Description: bacterial SSU rRNA
Rfam family: Bacterial small subunit ribosomal RNA
Source: RNAcentral
CCUACGGGGGGCAGCAGUGAGGAAUAUUGGUCAAUGGGCGGAAGCCUGAACCAGCCAAGUCGCGUGAGGGACUAAGGCCCUGCGGGUCGUAAACCUCUUUUGCCGGGGAGCAGUGGUCCGGACGCGUCCGGACCGGGAGAGUACCCGGAGAAAAAGCAUCGGCUAACUCCGUGCCAGCAGCCGCGGUAAUACGGAGGAUGCGAGCGUUAUCCGGAUUUAUUGGGUUUAAAGGGUGCGUAGGCGGGCAUUUAAGCCGGCGGUCAAAUGUCGGGGCUCAACCCCGGCCUGCCGUCGGAACUGGGUGC